Molecule: ribosomal RNA, 532 nt
Filed under: uncultured bacterium
Lineage: Bacteria
Description: partial 16S ribosomal RNA
Source: RNAcentral
GGAGUUAGCCGGUGCUUCUUCUGCGAGUAACGUCACAGAUGUAAGGUAUUAACUUACACCCUUUCCUCCUCGCUGAAAGUGCUUUACAACCCGAAGGCCUUCUUCACACACGCGGCAUGGCUGCAUCAGGGUUUCCCCCAUUGUGCAAUAUUCCCCACUGCUGCCUCCCGUAGGAGUCUGGGCCGUGUCUCAGUCCCAGUGUGGCUGAUCAUCCUCUCAGACCAGCUAGGGAUCGUCGCCUAGGUGAGCCUUUACCUCACCUACUAGCUAAUCCCACCUGGGCUUAUCCAUCAGCGCAAGGCCCGAAGGUCCCCUGCUUUCCCCCGUAGGGCGUAUGCGGUAUUAGCAGUCGUUUCCAACUGUUAUCCCCCACAAAUGGGCAAAUUCCCAGGCAUUACUCACCCGUCCGCCGCUCGUCAUCUUCAAAAGCAAGCUUUUGAAAUGUUACCGCUCGACUUGCAUGUGUUAGGCCUGCCGCCAGCGUUCAAUCUGAACACGAGCAUAACUGACUACGAGCGGCGNGCGACGACGC